This 916-nucleotide ribosomal RNA is filed under the name uncultured bacterium. Its description in RNAcentral is "bacterial SSU rRNA". It matches the Rfam family "Bacterial small subunit ribosomal RNA", at positions 8 to 916 of the family's 1533-position model. The record is from RNAcentral.
AGAGUUUGAUCCUGGCUCAGGAUGAACGCUAGCUACAGGCUUAACACAUGCAAGUCGAGGGGCAGCAUUAUCUUAGCUUGCUAAGAUAGAUGGCGACCGGCGCACGGGUGAGUAACACGUAUCCAACCUUCCGGUUACUCGGGGAUAGGCUUUCGAAAGAAAGAUUAAUACCCGAUGUUGCGUAUCUUUCUCCUGAAAGAUACGCCAAAGGAUUCCGGUAACCGAUGGGGAUGCGUUCCAUUAGGCAGUUGGCGGGGUAACGGCCCACCAAACCUUCGAUGGAUAGGGGUUCUGAGAGGAAGGUCCCCCACAUUGGAACUGAGACACGGUCCAAACUCCUACGGGAGGCAGCAGUGAGGAAUAUUGGUCAAUGGACGCAAGUCUGAACCAGCCAAGUAGCGUGAAGGAUGACUGCCCUCUGGGUUGUAAACUUCUUUUAUACGGGAAUAACAUGAGGUACGCGUACCUUAUUGCAUGUACCGUUAUGAAUAAGCAUCGGCUAACUCCGUGCCAGCAGCCGCGGUAAUACGGAGGAUGCGAGCGUUAUCCGGAUUUAUUGGGUUUAAAGGGAGCGUAGGUGGGAUAUUAAGUCAGCUGUGAAAGUUUGGGGCUCAACCUUAAAAUUGCAGUUGAUACUGGUCUCCUUGAGUACGGUACAGGUGGGCGGAAUUCGUGGUGUAGCGGUGAAAUGCUUAGAUAUCACGAAGAACUCCGAUCGCGAAGGCAGCUCACCGGGCCGGAACUGACACUGAUGCUCGAAAGUGCGGGUAUCAAACAGGAUUAGAUACCCUGGUAGUCCGCACAGUAAACGAUGAAUACUCGCUGUUUGCGAUACACUGUAAGCGGCCAAGCGAAAGCGUUAAGUAUUCCACCUGGGGAGUACGCCGGCAACGGUGAAACUCAAAGGAAUUGACGG